GGCGCUGUGGCUUAGUUGGUUUAAGCGCCUGUCUAGUAAACAGGAGAUCCUGGGUCCAAAUCCCAGCAGUGCCU
Molecule: transfer RNA, 74 nt
Filed under: Oryzias latipes (Japanese medaka)
Lineage: Eukaryota; Metazoa; Chordata; Actinopteri; Beloniformes; Adrianichthyidae
Description: tRNA-Thr (AGT) (tRNA-Thr-AGT-23-1)
Rfam family: tRNA
About the family: Transfer RNA (tRNA) molecules are approximately 80 nucleotides in length. Their secondary structure includes four short double-helical elements and three loops (D, anti-codon, and T loops).
Source: Rfam by way of RNAcentral